This 479-nucleotide ribosomal RNA is filed under the name uncultured bacterium. RNAcentral describes it as "partial 16S ribosomal RNA". It matches the Rfam family "Bacterial small subunit ribosomal RNA", at positions 28 to 507 of the family's 1533-position model. The record is from RNAcentral.
GAUGAACGCUGGCGGCGUGCUUAACACAUGCAAGUCGAACGAAGCACCUUGAUUUGAUUCUUCGGAUGAAGAUCUUGGUGACUGAGUGGCGGACGGGUGAGUAACGCGUGGGUAACCUGCCUCAUACAGGGGGAUAACAGUUAGAAAUGACUGCUAAUACCGCAUAAGACCACAGCACCGCAUGGUGCAGGGGUAAAAACUCCGGUGGUAUGAGAUGGACCCGCGUCUGAUUAGGUAGUUGGUGGGGUAACGGCCUAUCAAGCCGACGAUCAGUAGCCGACCUGAGAGGGUGACCGGCCACAUUGGGACUGAGACACGGCCCAAACUCCUACGGGAGGCAGCAGUGGGGAAUAUUGCACAAUGGGGGAAACCCUGAUGCAGCGACGCCGCGUGAGCGAUGAAGUAUUUCGGUAUGUAAAGCUCUAUCAGCAGGGAAGAAAAUGACGGUACCUGACUAAGAAGCACCGGCUAAAUACGUG